CAAUAGCGUGUAUUAAAGUUGUUGCGGUAAAAAAGCUCGUAGUUGGAUUUCUACCGAAGAUAGCCGGUCGGGUCUUCGACCUUGUAUCUGGUUUUGUCUUUGGUAUCCUCAUAGGGAACGUUUCUGCGCUUUAUUGCGUGGUGCGGUAUCUAUGACUUUUACUUUGAGGAAAUUAGAGUGUUCACGGCAGGCAAACGCCUUGAAUAUAUUAGCAUGGAAUAAUAACAUAGGAUCUUCGUCCUAUUUUGUUGGUUUCUAGGGCUAAGAUAAUGAUUAAUAGGGAUAAUUGGGGGCAUCUGUAUCAACGCGUCAGAGGUGGAAUUCUUGGAUUGCGUUGCGACAAACUACUGCGAAAGCAUUUGCCAAGGAUGUUUUCAUUGA
Molecule: ribosomal RNA, 381 nt
Filed under: uncultured eukaryote
Lineage: Eukaryota
Description: partial 18S ribosomal RNA
Rfam family: Eukaryotic small subunit ribosomal RNA
Source: RNAcentral